Molecule: long non-coding RNA, 644 nt
Filed under: Citrus maxima (pomelo)
Lineage: Eukaryota; Viridiplantae; Streptophyta; Magnoliopsida; Sapindales; Rutaceae
Description: long non-coding RNA (CMAX_LNC003526)
Source: RNAcentral
AGCAUUUCCACCACCAACACAACGACAAACACGUGUAAGAGCAUCUUCAAAAUGCUCACCCUCAGACUCCUUAGGAAUCAAGUUGAGAACCUGACAUGACCAUGAAAACCAGAAAACCACCGGAAUAUUAAAUGUCAAAUUUCAAGAAUAAAAACAGAAGGAAUAAACCUUGUUCAGAAGGCACAGCAGAAACAAUUGCAUAUAAAAAGCCAUUCAUGUUGUAGAAUAGAGGGCAUGCUUUUGGGGGGGGGGGGGGGGUUCGGCACAACACACCUAGCCCAUCCAACCAAAAGAAAACUCAAUCAUUGAAUUUAAACCAAUUUCAAUUGUAACAGUAUCAGAUAAACUUAACUGUUCUACAGAACACCAUAGCCAAUAAUAGUCAAUAGAAAUUAGCCAGAUGCCAUUUCCAAUAAGGAAUAAUCACCAAUACAGACAUAAAGGGAUGAAGGCUAAUGGACCACUAAUUGUUCUCAGAGAGUGAGAGAACAAAAUUUAGAAGGGUCAAAAACAAAGACAUUCAGAAGAAGGGACUACCUGUUGAACGCUUCGUCGCUUAACAAUUCUAACUCCUAAGCAGAAGAUGCGCGCAUCACAUCCAGUUAAUACAAUCUUAUUUAUUCCGUCUUUUGUCCAUGGUGUGA